RNAcentral lists this ribosomal RNA (253 nucleotides) under uncultured bacterium. Its description in RNAcentral is "partial 16S ribosomal RNA". It matches the Rfam family "Bacterial small subunit ribosomal RNA", at positions 524 to 776 of the family's 1533-position model. The record is from RNAcentral.
UACAGAGGUCUCAAGCGUUGUUCGGAUUCAUUGGGCGUAAAGGGUGCGUAGGUGGCGCCAUAAGUCAGGUGUGAAAUCUCGGGGCUCAACCCCGAAACUGCACUUGAUACUGUGGUGCUCGAGUACUGGAGAGGAGAUUGGAAUUUACGGUGUAGCAGUGAAAUGCGUAGAUAUCGUAAGGAAGACCAGUGGCGAAGGCGAAUCUCUGGACAGUUACUGACGCUGAGGCACGAAGGACAGGGGAGCAAACGGG